Molecule: ribosomal RNA, 502 nt
Filed under: uncultured Sphingobacteriales bacterium
Lineage: Bacteria; Pseudomonadati; Bacteroidota; Sphingobacteriia; Sphingobacteriales
Description: bacterial SSU rRNA
Rfam family: Bacterial small subunit ribosomal RNA
Source: RNAcentral
CGCCUUGCCAGCCCGCUCAGAAACUUAAAGGAAUUGACGGGGCCCGCACAAGCGGUGGAGCAUGUGGUUUAAUUCGAUGAUACGCGAGGAACCUUACCUGGGCUCAAAUGUAUGUUGACGUAUUCUGAAAGGGAUACUUCUUCGGACAAUAUACGAGGUGCUGCAUGGUUGUCGUCAGCUCGUGCCGUGAGGUGUCGGGUUAAGUCCCAUAACGAGCGCAACCCCUACCUUUAGUUGCCAUCAGGUUAAGCUGGGGACUCUAAAGGAACUGCCUACGCAAGUAGUGAGGAAGGCGGGGAUGACGUCAAAUCAGCACGGCCCUUACGUCCAGGGCUACACACGUGCUACAAUGGCCGAUACAGAGGGCAGCUACCUGGUGACAGGAUGCAAAUCUCCAAAGUCGGUCUCAGUUCGGAUCGGAGUCUGCAACCCGACUCCGUGAAGUUGGAUUCGCUAGUAAUCGCGCAUCAGCCAUGGCGCGGUGAAUACGUUCCCGGGCCUU